CGGAUGCUAACGUCCGUAGUGGAGAGGGAAACAACCCUGACCUCCAGCUAAGGCCCCUAAUUCAUGGCUAAGUGGGAAAGCAGGUGGGAUGUCCAAAACAACCAGGAAGUUGGCUUAGAAGCAGCCAUCUUUUAAAGAUAGCGUAACAGCUCACUGGUCUAAUUAAGACGUCCUGCGGCGAAGAUGUAACGGGGCUCAAGCCAUGAGCCGAAGCUGAGGAUGCACA
Molecule: ribosomal RNA, 226 nt
Filed under: Odontella aurita
Lineage: Eukaryota; Bacillariophyta; Thalassiosirophyceae; Eupodiscales; Odontellaceae
Description: partial Bacterial large subunit ribosomal RNA
Rfam family: Bacterial large subunit ribosomal RNA
Source: RNAcentral